GCCCGGAUAGCUCAGUUGGUAGAGCAAAGGACUGAAAAUCCUUGUGUCGGUGGUUCGAGUCCGCCUCCGGGCACCA
RNAcentral lists this transfer RNA (76 nucleotides) under Alphaproteobacteria bacterium. RNAcentral describes it as "tRNA-Phe". It matches the Rfam family "tRNA". From Rfam's summary of the family: Transfer RNA (tRNA) molecules are approximately 80 nucleotides in length. The record is from RNAcentral. Lineage: Bacteria; Pseudomonadati; Pseudomonadota; Alphaproteobacteria.